UACGAAGGGGGCUAGCGUUGCUCGGAAUCACUGGGCGUAAAGGGCGCGUAGGCGGCCAUUCAAGUCGGGGGUGAAAGCCUGUGGCUCAACCACAGAAUUGCCUUCGAUACUGUUUGGCUUGAGUAUGGUAGAGGUCAGUGGAACUGCGAGUGUAGAGGUGAAAUUCGUAGAUAUUCGCAAGAACACCAGUGGCGAAGGCGGCUGACUGGACCAUUACUGACGCUGAGGCGCGAAAGCGUGGGGAGCGAACAGG
Molecule: ribosomal RNA, 253 nt
Filed under: uncultured bacterium
Lineage: Bacteria
Description: partial 16S ribosomal RNA
Rfam family: Bacterial small subunit ribosomal RNA
Source: RNAcentral